This 188-nucleotide ribosomal RNA is filed under the name Morganella morganii. Its description in RNAcentral is "partial 16S ribosomal RNA". It matches the Rfam family "Bacterial small subunit ribosomal RNA", at positions 1 to 181 of the family's 1533-position model. Lineage: Bacteria; Pseudomonadati; Pseudomonadota; Gammaproteobacteria; Enterobacterales; Morganellaceae. The record is from RNAcentral.
UUAAUUGAAGAGUUUGAUCAUGGCUCAGAUUGAACGCUGGCGGCAGGCCUAACACAUGCAAGUCGGGCGGUAACAGGGAGAAGCUUGCUUCUCUGCUGACGAGCGGCGGACGGGUGAGUAAUGUAUGGGGAUCUGCCUGAUGGCGGGGGAUAACUACUGGAAACGGUAGCUAAUACCGCAUAAUGUCU